This 433-nucleotide ribosomal RNA is filed under the name uncultured bacterium. RNAcentral's name for it is "partial 16S ribosomal RNA". It matches the Rfam family "Bacterial small subunit ribosomal RNA", at positions 29 to 507 of the family's 1533-position model. The record is from RNAcentral.
AACGAACGCUGGCGGCAGGCCUAACACAUGCAAGUCGAGCGAGGACUUCGGUCCUAGCGGCGGACGGGUGAGUAACGCGUGGGAACGUGCCCUUUGCUUCGGAAUAGCCCUGGGAAACUGGGAGUAAUACCGGAUGAGCCCUUUGGGGGAAAGAUUUAUCGGCGAAGGAUCGGCCCGCGUUGGAUUAGGUAGUUGGUGGGGCAAUGGCCUACCAAGCCGACGAUCCAUAGCUGGUUUGAGAGGAUGAUCAGCCACACUGGGACUGAGACACGGCCCAGACUCCUACGGGAGGCAGCAGUGGGGAAUCUUAGACAAUGGGGGAAACCCUGAUCUAGCCAUGCCGCGUGAGCGAUGAAGGCCUUAGGGUUGUAAAGCUCUUUCAGCUGGGAAGAUAAUGACGGUACCAGCAGAAGAAGCCCCGGCUAACUCCGUG